GCCUGAGUACGUAAUCUUCAACCACGUGCUCCUACUCAAAAUGAAGCCAUAGAGGGUUACUGUCAUGGGAAGUUAGACCUUAUUUAUGAUAAACUACUCAAAAUCCAAGAGAGAGAAGGAAUUAAAAUAGAUCUAUUACUCUGUUGUGGUGAUUUCCAAGUCAGUGGGCUCCUAGGGGCGGGGCGAGACUAGUAGGCUCCAUUUUGUGUUCAUUUCAGUAUAAGACCCACUGCAGGCAAUUAGAGAUCAAGAUGAUCUUAACUGUAUGGCAGUCCCUGACAAGUAUAAGGAAAUCGGAUCCUUCCACAAAUGUUAGGGUUUGUGGGUGGAGCAUUUGUUCCCUUGGCUUUGGAUUGAACUUGAUGUAUUUGAUUAGUAAUUUUAACUAUAAUUCCUAUUUAUAUUCAAAAUGCUAGAAACCUCUACUCCAUCAAGUUCACUGAUAAAUCUUCUUUAUGGUGAAGAUGAUGAUGAGAAGGUUAGGCCUCCUUUGACAAUACAGCCACCAUCUUCCCCCAGACCAACACACAGAGCUGUUAAAUCUAAAAGAGCUUCAUCAAUAGUACGUUCUCCAUAUUUGGCAGCUGUUGCUCCACCACGUCAAUCUGUUGUACCUCAUCACUCUCCAUCAACUAAAAGAUCAUCACCAGUCAAAGCUACACAAGUUUACAAAAAUGGAUUAUUUGUACCUAUUAAAAGAAAGUCAGCUUCAAACAAAGCAACUGAUGUUGAUUCUACAGUGGAUUAUGCUGGUAAAACUGCACUGGAUCUUCGUGAUGAGCUAACGGCAAUGAAGAAGAACCUAUCAGCCACUGAAGAACAAAGAGACAUAUUCAGAGGAGAAGUGAUAAAAUCAUAAACAAUUAGUGAAGAAAGACAAAGAGAUAGAGGAUCUUAUAAUGAGUGGUCAUGUUAGCACUAGAGACAGAGCUAGGAUCAACACUGGGAAUAAACCUGAUGUACUUUUAGUUAGGAGUUCUAAUUAAUGCACAGCAUGUGCUUGUACCGUAUAAGUAGUUUUUUGAGGGAAUUAUAUUUCGCAAAAUCUGCUAAAAUUCCAAUUUGUGGAUUUUAAUUUUGUGAAUUCUACCAUGUGUGCCAUGCGGGUACCGUAUUAAAGUGAUUUUUGCGGAUUUUAAUUUCGCAAAUCAGGAGAGAAUCUGUAAAAUUUGCAACCCUCGAAAAAAGCACUUAUACGGUAUGUACAUUGUAUGUGCACUUUAAGUUCCUUUUUAUCAGCAUCAGAAAAUUUACCAAAAUUAAUAAAGAGUUCUUUCCCAGUAUUUUAGGAUAUUUUUUGGCCAAGUAUUGCAUGCUUUAUAGUAUAGGCCACGUACAAUGUUAGAUGGUGGAGCACAAUAAUAUUUCUCAUUGAUACAAGGAGCAGCAAUAUCAGCACUAGUACAAAUGGAAUCAACUGUUGAUGAGAAAAGUAAAGAAAUUGAGAAACUGAGAGAAGAGAUGACAAGUAUCACUCAGAAACACAAUGAAGAAUACAAAGGUUAUUAAUUGUCCUUCACAGAAGAGGUAACUACCAUAAUUAGAAAAGGAGCAGAAUGAGUUGAUUCAGUACUUGCAGAUUUGGUUAAGACCACUGUAAGAGACAAGUGUUUAUCACUCACUAUGAGAAAAUACAGAGACAAAUAAUUAUUAAUGGGCAUACAACAACUGUACUAAAAUUCUUUUGGAUAUUAUGCUAGAAGUGAAA
Molecule: RNA transcript, 1708 nt
Organism: Amphimedon queenslandica
Lineage: Eukaryota; Metazoa; Porifera; Demospongiae; Haplosclerida; Niphatidae
Exons: 11
Source: RefSeq, a predicted model, not a curated record